GACGAACGCUGGCGGCGUGCUUAACACAUGCAAGUCGAACGGAAAGGCCCUGCUUGCAGGGUACUCGAGUGGCGAACGGGUGAGUAACACGUGGGUGAUCUGCCCUGCACUUCGGGAUAAGCCUGGGAAACUGGGUCUAAUACCGGAUAGGAGCCAUUUUUAGUGUGAUGGUUGGAAAGUUUUUUCGGUGUAGGAUGAGCUCGCGGCCUAUCAGCUUGUUGGUGGGGUAAUGGCCUACCAAGGCGGCGACGGGUAGCCGGCCUGAGAGGGUGGACGGCUACAUUGGGACUGAGAUACGGCCCAGACUCCUACGGGAGGCAGCAGUGGGGAAUAUUGCACAAUGGGCGCAAGCCUGAUGCAGCGACGCCGCGUGGGGGAUGACGGCCUUCGGGUUGUAAACUCCUUUCGCUAGGGACGAAGCUUUUGUGACGGUACCUAGAUAAGAAGCACCGGCUAACUACGUG
Molecule: ribosomal RNA, 464 nt
Filed under: uncultured bacterium
Lineage: Bacteria
Description: partial 16S ribosomal RNA
Rfam family: Bacterial small subunit ribosomal RNA
Source: RNAcentral